Rhipicephalus sanguineus (brown dog tick) is the source of this 860-nucleotide long non-coding RNA. RefSeq lists it as uncharacterized. The record is from RefSeq and is a predicted model, not a curated record. The transcript is spliced from 2 exons. NCBI's taxonomy places the organism in Eukaryota, Metazoa, Arthropoda, Arachnida, Ixodida, Ixodidae.
GUCGACUCCCGAUAAUUCGAAGUCGCUUAAUUGGAAUUAUCGGUUAAUUGGAAGUGGAGUGGGGGUCCUGUCAGUUUUGCAUGCAGUUCAACAGGAAGAAAUUCUCGGUAAUUGGAAGCUAGAGGUCUGAAAUUUCGGUUAAUUCGAAUUUAUUUUCAAUCGAAUUCCCGGAGGAAAUCGUAAUGUUUGUUAAAUUUUCUAUUUUUGAAGUGCUAAACAACAAUGCGUGUGCGACCGGCACCCAAGGGCAUCGCAGUUGACCACAGCGCCGCAGCUCAAAGCGUCAGCUGAUGGCAUCGCAGUUGCAUGCAGCGCCCCAGAUCACGAAGCGGCUGCUCCGGCGGUUCCAGUUCCGGGCCUCAUUGUUGAUCUCGCUACGGUCGUGUGCGGACUCAGCGUUUCCACGUGCGACGAAGCUCCACGUGCAUUUACUAUGGCAACUCGCGGGCCUUAUCGGACGCUUGACUUGGCGACGAAACUUGACGUCGAUGGUCUCCUGCCAGCUCUCGGUGACGUCCCUUUCGAGGAGUACGUUGCCACUGACAGUUCGGUAGAAACGUGCGGUGCACUGUCGGACGCUGAGAUCGUGGAGAUGGUUCGGCCCAGCGAGCCUAGUCACGAAACUGAGGUUGACGACGACAACGCCGCAAGUGAGCCACUACCGUGGGUUGCUGAUGUAGCCGCAGGCCUUGCCCUCGCGCAGCGGUUUUUCACUGCUGAGAGCAACACCGAGGAAGCACUCGGGCACAUAUACAGCCUGCAGGACUUGCUUUCUGCUGCAAGAUUCAGCAAACAGAAGCAAACGGCAAUCACAGAUUUUUUCUCAUAAACUGCUUUGAAAUAAAUGUAUUUUUCGUUCA